CCUGCGGAGGGAUCAUUACAGAGUUAUCCAACUCCCAAACCCAUGUGAACUUAUCUCUUUGUUGCCUCGGCGCAAGCUACCCGGGACCUCGCGCCCCGGGCGGCCCGCCGGCGGACAAACCAAAACUCUUGUUAUCUUAGUUGAUUAUCUGAGUGUCUUAUUUAAUAAGUCAAAACUUUCAACAACGGAUCUCUUGGUUCUGGCAUCGAUGAAGAACGCAGCGAAAUGCGAUAAGUAAUGUGAAUUGCAGAAUUCAGUGAAUCAUCGAAUCUUUGAACGCACAUUGCGCCCAUUAGUAUUCUAGUGGGCAUGCCUGUUCGAGCGUCAUUUCAACCCCUAAGCACAGCUUAUUGUUGGGAACCUACGGCUUCGUAGUUCCUCAAAGACAUUGGCGGAGUGGCAGUGGUCCUCUGAGCGUAGUAAUCUUUUAUCUCGCUUCUGUUAGGUGCUGCCCCCCCGGCCGUAAAACCCCCAAUUUUUUCUGGUUGACCUCGGAUCAGGUAGGAAUACCCGCUGAACUUAAGCAUAUC
Molecule: ribosomal RNA, 530 nt
Filed under: Nigrospora sphaerica
Lineage: Eukaryota; Fungi; Ascomycota; Sordariomycetes; Amphisphaeriales; Apiosporaceae
Also listed under: 1 other name
Description: eukaryotic LSU rRNA
Rfam family: 5.8S ribosomal RNA (bases 174-327)
Source: RNAcentral